Molecule: long non-coding RNA, 672 nt
Organism: Triticum aestivum (bread wheat)
Lineage: Eukaryota; Viridiplantae; Streptophyta; Magnoliopsida; Poales; Poaceae
Exons: 3
Source: RefSeq, a predicted model, not a curated record
GCGUCCGGAGCGGCGGCAAUGAGCGGCCAAGGGCGAAUCUGCAGCACUACGCAGGCGAUGGCCAUGAGCCGCGAAUGUCUAAUCUGCAGCGCGGCGCAGGCGGCAGUGGUGAGAAGGGACAGCUCGCCUCACACGUCUGAGCUGUCGACGGGGAAGAUAACUCCCGAGGCUCUGCUUCGAAUAAGAGGUUGCGGAUUGGUGCCGCUGGCCCAACCAGGGCACCUUGGCCAACCUGUGUAGGCGCGUUUGAGAAGGCGGUGAUGGUGUUCGUGGAAAAGCCGACCGAAAAUGUUAUCACUCCGGUGCUGGGUACUACCUUCGACUCACUGGGAGAAGCAUACGAUUUCUACAACUUAUGUUCCUCGAAGAAGGGGUUUGGGAUUAGAUAUAGAAAAGCCAUGUGGAGAGAACGAAGUGCGUGCAGGAAAUUGUGCGGAUGCUUGCUGGUGUUAAGAACACAAGGUCCUGUCGGUGUGAAUGCCCAGCGCUGAUAAGGGUGUUAUGGACGAAGUACAAUGGGUGGUAUAUCGCAGAGCAUCGGGAGACUCAUAACUGAACCAUUCUCUUUCACAUAAUUUCAGCGAGACGAUCCACUGGCUGUCUCACAAGCACACUGAUGCGUACAGUACGAACCUAAUAAAACAGUGUUGCAGAAUAAUGUCAAACUUGCAA